AUGGCGGAUGGUGAUGGACCUUGGUAUGACGAAUUAAUCGAUGAGUGGGAUAAGGAGCAUCGUGCUCGUGCCAUUGAAAAUGGACAGGUUGUAGUUGCUAUGCGCAUGAGGGGUCAUUCCGCUGAUGACUUUGAUUACGACCCGCGGUAUGAGCCUUACAUUCGGAGAUUGGGUCUUCUCCCAUUCGUGUUGCAGUUUAAGCGACGCGCUCCGCCGGUGAACCACGCGGCGCUGACCGCACUUGUGGAUCGUUGGAGGCCGGAGACUCACUCCUUCCACCUUCCAUGUGGGGAGAUGACGAUGACCCUACAGGACAUGGCUAUGAUAAGCGGCCUUCCUAUCAAUGGACAAGCUGUUACCGGUCGUGUCAGCGUGGGUAAUUGGCGAGAACGGACUGCCGAUUUAAUUGGCGUUCAGCCCGAGGGCCCUCAAGAAGGCAAGGCCGAUACAGCGAAAGUGAGGCAUUCUUGGCUAAAACUGGUCAGAGGAAACACCAACCCGUGCCCUCAGGAUGCCAAUGACGUGGUUGUGCAGCAGUACGCGCGGGCCUAUCUUUGGUAUGUACUAACCAAGCUUGACUUGGCGUGUCGGAGGAAGGGAGGUACAUCCUCAUUUUCUGGGUUUGUUUGGAGCCUAUCCGUGUGGAUGUGGGAGCGGAUCCCGGUUGGACGGCCCGAUUUGAAGAACCCCCUCAUGGCAAACCCACGGGGUAAUCAUGAUGGGUUGCAUGAUGAUGAUCCAUAUCGGCGCCCUACGCUUGCUUACUAUUGGGAACAAGUGACAGUGUACACAGGAAGCUCGCAUGUGCGAUACAAGUGCUAUAUGAACGAGCUGGACACCUUGACUGCUGAGCAGGUACAUUGGUUGCCUUAUGUGGAAGAUCGUGACUUUGAUCUUAAUGAGAUGUGCACGCGUGAUAGCCAUCUUUGGCGGGCGAGGUGCCCAAUGAUAUGCUUCUUCGCAGUCGAGUGGCACUUUGUAGACCGUGUGGCAAGACAAUUUGGAAAAAGACAAGGUAUUCCAAUUGAGGAGAGCAAGGAGGAAAUGCUAUCUCUGCAUCGGUUCGAUCGAAGGAACAAUCAGGAUAUAUCGGAUUGGGCAAACAAACACCGUGCGUGGAUAGAAAUUUGGAAUCAAAGAGACACGUUAGUGCAAUCAGAGAAUAGACCUCACAAUCAGUCAGCAUAUCAGAAGUAUCAAGUGUGGUAUGCGGAUCGUUACCGGUUAAAGCUGAAGCCAGGUUGGACUCACGAGGAGUGGUCGGAGUUGGUGUCUGAAGACCCGGAGACUGCAGAAGGUUAUCAUACCUUCAACACGGCUGUGAGAGACACCAGAGGGGCUCAUGUUGACUACGCACCGAUGCAUGACGAAAUGGGCAGAGAGUUGCUUCUGUGCGUCAACGAUGCCAAUGUUGCACUGAGUCAUCCACCUGGUGGUGCAUUAUCUGAGAGGACUCUUAGGAGCACGAUGGAGAAGUUCAAGAAGCGGUUCCAUAAGAUGGCAGCUAUGCUUUCUUGCCAUGGUGCUCAGUCCAGUGAUGUGUAUGCACCAGGUAGCCGCGCCGCCAGAGCUAAUAAAUGGUGUUAUGUCCAGAACGAAGAGGACAUAGAGGAGGAGGUCAAUGAAGAGGAGCCAGCACAUCAAGAGGAGCCAACACAUCAUGAUGAGCAUGAGUAUGAUGCAACACAUCAAGAGGAUCAUGAGUAUGAUGUUGAUGCUCCACAACCAUCACAGGUUACACAACCGACACAAGGCAAUGCCCGCUCUAGAAAAGGCAAAGCAAUAGCUAAGACACCGGGCCAGAAAGGUAGAAAGAAGAUAUGGAACACUCAAUUCCAUAGUCCGGAGUAUCCUCAUCAAUUUAUGCCUGCGGGAAUGCAAAGAUAUAAGUCGAACAUUGAUGCAGAGGCGGAGGAGGCUAGCGAAGAGGAGGAGCAUGAGGCUAGCGAAGAGGGGGAGCAUACACUUGCAGAUAUCGUGAAGAGAGGAAGGAAGAAGUGA
Molecule: ribosomal RNA, 2001 nt
Filed under: Triticum aestivum (bread wheat)
Lineage: Eukaryota; Viridiplantae; Streptophyta; Magnoliopsida; Poales; Poaceae
Description: partial small subunit ribosomal RNA
Source: RNAcentral